UGGGGAAUAUUGCACAAUGGGGGAAACCCUGAUGCAGCGACGCCGCGUGAGUGAAGAAGUAUUUCGGUAUGUAAAGCUCUAUCAGCAGGGAAGAAGCAAGACGGUACCUGACUAAGAAGCCCCGGCUAACUACGUGCCAGCAGCCGCGGUAAUACGUAGGGGGCAAGCGUUAUCCGGAAUUACUGGGUGUAAAGGGAGCGUAGACGGUGAUGCAAGUCUGGAGUGAAAGGCGGGGGCCCAACCCCCGGACUGCUCUGGAAACUGUGUAACUUGAGUGCAGGAGAGGUAAGCGGAAUUCCUAGUGUAGCGGUGAAAUGCGUAGAUAUUAGGAGGAACACCAGUGGCGAAGGCGGCUUACUGGACUGUAACUGACGUUGAGGCUCGAAAGCGUGGGGAGCAAACAGG
This 405-nucleotide ribosomal RNA is filed under the name uncultured bacterium. RNAcentral's name for it is "bacterial SSU rRNA". It matches the Rfam family "Bacterial small subunit ribosomal RNA", at positions 355 to 776 of the family's 1533-position model. The record is from RNAcentral.